This 966-nucleotide ribosomal RNA is filed under the name bacterium Antarctica-4. Its description in RNAcentral is "bacterial SSU rRNA". It matches the Rfam family "Bacterial small subunit ribosomal RNA", at positions 100 to 1070 of the family's 1533-position model. The record is from RNAcentral.
GACGGGUGAGUAAUGCUUGGGAACAUGCCUUGAGGUGGGGGACAACAGUUGGAAACGACUGCUAAUACCGCAUAAUGUCUACGGACCAAAGGGGGCUUCGGCUCUCGCCUUUAGAUUGGCCCAAGUGGGAUUAGCUAGUUGGUGAGGUAAUGGCUCACCAAGGCGACGAUCCCUAGCUGGUUUGAGAGGAUGAUCAGCCACACUGGGACUGAGACACGGCCCAGACUCCUACGGGAGGCAGCAGUGGGGAAUAUUGCACAAUGGGCGCAAGCCUGAUGCAGCCAUGCCGCGUGUGUGAAGAAGGCCUUCGGGUUGUAAAGCACUUUCAGUCAGGAGGAAAGGUUAGUAGUUAAUACCUGCUAGCUGUGACGUUACUGACAGAAGAAGCACCGGCUAACUCCGUGCCAGCAGCCGCGGUAAUACGGAGGGUGCGAGCGUUAAUCGGAAUUACUGGGCGUAAAGCGUACGCAGGCGGUUUGUUAAGCGAGAUGUGAAAGCCCCGGGCUCAACCUGGGAACUGCAUUUCGAACUGGCAAACUAGAGUGUGAUAGAGGGUGGUAGAAUUUCAGGUGUAGCGGUGAAAUGCGUAGAGAUCUGAAGGAAUACCGAUGGCGAAGGCAGCCACCUGGGUCAACACUGACGCUCAUGUACGAAAGCGUGGGGAGCAAACGGGAUUAGAUACCCCGGUAGUCCACGCCGUAAACGAUGUCUACUAGAAGCUCGGAGCCUCGGUUCUGUUUUUCAAAGCUAACGCAUUAAGUAGACCGCCUGGGGAGUACGGCCGCAAGGUUAAAACUCAAAUGAAUUGACGGGGGCCCGCACAAGCGGUGGAGCAUGUGGUUUAAUUCGAUGCAACGCGAAGAACCUUACCUACACUUGACAUACAGAGAACUUACCAGAGAUGGUUUGGUGCCUUCGGGAACUCUGAUACAGGUGCUGCAUGGCUGUCGUCAGCUCGUGUUGUGA